UACGGAGGGUGCGAGCGUUGUCCGGAAUCACUGGGCGUAAAGGGCGCGUAGGUGGCGCGACAAGUCAACGGUGAAAGCCCGGGGCUCAACCCCGGGUCGGCCGUCGAUACUGUCGGGCUUGAGCACUGUAGAGGCAGGUGGAAUUCCGGGUGUAGUGGUGAAAUGCGUAGAGAUCAGGCGGAACACCCGUGGCGAAGGCGGCCAGCUGGGCCGACCCUGACGCUGAGGCGCGAAGGCGUGGGGAGCGAACGGG
Molecule: ribosomal RNA, 253 nt
Filed under: uncultured bacterium
Lineage: Bacteria
Description: partial 16S ribosomal RNA
Rfam family: Bacterial small subunit ribosomal RNA
Source: RNAcentral